Molecule: ribosomal RNA, 263 nt
Filed under: uncultured bacterium
Lineage: Bacteria
Description: partial 16S ribosomal RNA
Rfam family: Bacterial small subunit ribosomal RNA
Source: RNAcentral
CGAACGGGUGAGUAAUACAUAAGUAACCUGCCCUAGACAGGGGGAUAACUAUUGGAAACGAUAGCUAAGACCGCAUAGGUACGGACACUGCAUGGUGACCGUAUUAAAAGUGCCUCAAAGCACUGGUAGAGGAUGGACUUAUGGCGCAUUAGCUGGUUGGCGGGGUAACGGCCCACCAAGGCGACGAUGCGUAGCCGACCUGAGAGGGUGACCGGCCACACUGGGACUGAGACACGGCCCAGACUCCUACGGGAGACAGCAUG